This 331-nucleotide ribosomal RNA is filed under the name uncultured bacterium. RNAcentral describes it as "bacterial SSU rRNA". It matches the Rfam family "Bacterial small subunit ribosomal RNA", at positions 570 to 898 of the family's 1533-position model. The record is from RNAcentral.
UGUAGGCGGCCGGGUAAGUCAGAUGUGAAAUCCCUUGGCUUAACCAAGGAAGGGCAUUUGAAACUGCCUGGCUUGAGUACGGGAGGGGGAAGUGGAAUUCCCGGUGUAGAGGUGAAAUUCGUAGAUAUCGGGAGGAACACCGGUGGCGAAGGCGGCUUCCUGGACCGAUACUGACGCUGAGACGCGAAAGCGUGGGGAGCAAACAGGAUUAGAUACCCUGGUAGUCCACGCCGUAAACGUUGGGCACUAGGUGUUGCGGGUAUUGACCCCUGCAGUGCCGAAGCUAACGCAUUAAGUGCCCCCGCCUGGGGAGUACGGUCGCAAGGCUAAA